Erinaceus europaeus (western European hedgehog) is the source of this 2339-nucleotide long non-coding RNA. RefSeq lists it as uncharacterized. The record is from RefSeq and is a predicted model, not a curated record. The transcript is spliced from 2 exons. NCBI's taxonomy places the organism in Eukaryota, Metazoa, Chordata, Mammalia, Eulipotyphla, Erinaceidae.
AAGUGUUUUUACUCAGAAAAGCAGCUUGUAUAUAUACUAGCCAAGUAGGGUGGAAACAGGGUGUGACAUAGAGAGGGUGGAGCGAAAAAAGACUGGUGGAGAUCAGGGUGUACUAGGAGAGGGGGCGGAGCAAAAAGACAUCGUGAACCAGUGGGGAUUAAACCAACGCCCUGGAGGGAGGGGAGUUAAUGUUCUGUUUUACUGUCUAUCUCUCUAUCUUGUGUUAAUACAUAAGCAGAUAUAUCUAAAUAAUUGUGGGGAUCAUAGUUCCAUGAUAUACAAGUGAACCCGUACCUCUGAAUAUUCUGUAAAUGAGUACUUCAGUUCUUUGUCUUAAAUUCUAAUAUAUGAAAAAAUUCACUUGGUACUGAGAACUUACUGAUAUCAACAAUGAUUAGAUGUGCAGUAGCACAGAGGGUUAAAUUCAGGUGGCAUUAAUCCCAAGGACUGCCGUAAGGAUUCUGGUUCUAUCCCCGAGCUCCCCACCAGCAGGGGAGUCACUUCACAAGUGGUGAAGGUCUGCAGGUGUCUUUCUGUCUCUCCCCCUCUCUGUCUUCCCUUCCUCUCUCCAUUUCUCUGUCCUAUUUAACAAUGAUAUUAAUAAGAACACUAAUAAUAACUACAACAAUAAAAACAUUUUUUAAAAAGACAGCCCUUUAUAAAUGAAAGAAAGAAAAACUAUUCUUACCAGUGUAGACAUUGUAGAAUGUACUUUACAGGCCUAGUAAGGAACUUGUAUUGGAGAGACCAAUAAAUGUAAAUCAGUGGAAUAACAAUGGAUGCUAUAAUAUGUUGCAAGUUGUGAAAUAGUGCUGCAGAUGUCUUGCCCCCUCUACCGGGUUGACAUUCCACACCUGACAUCUCUGGACACUAUCUGAAGUGAAACAUGCUGAGGUGGUACUUGUUGCUUUGAUUGUGAUCACAGUGCAUGCUGUGUCAGUUGGUAUGAACUGAGAGAAGUAUGCAGGAAAGUGAGCCCCAACCUAGAUGUUGCAGGACUGGGGGAAAUAGAGGCUCUAUAGAGGAAGCAGGAGGUUCCUGCUGUCUUAGGGUUUAAGAAGGAUUAAGAAGAUAGUUGUUGCUGUAAUCAAAUUAUUUGCAAUUGAGUUAACUUUGAAGAUCCCUUUGUUAGGAUUUGCUGUGUCCUACGCAACAUCACCAUAAUUUAUGCCUUUGACAUUAUUUGUAUAUAGCUGUGUCUUACAGAGUAACACCAUGGGUUGCUUCUGUUCUCCCUGGACUAAGCUUUUAGGAGAGUCAACAUUUCAAAGGCUCGGCCUAUGGUCUGUGCAUUAAAAAGUUUGAGACAUUCAAUUUUUCUCCUUUCAUAUUAAUUAAAUAAUUAAAUAGUAAUUUAUAUGACUACAAGUUAAUAGGAGUGUACAUAAACACAGCCCAUUUCCACACCAAGCUGGAAGACUGAGACCAAAUAUUCUACCGGAAUAUUGCUUACCGGAAACUGGGUGGAAGAGAGGAGGAAGUGGAGGAGGGGCUCAGUGGGUUCACCCAGAGGACUGGCAGGGAGAGAGGCAGAUGUGAGGUCCUCACAGCUUCCAAGAGAAGGGUCCCACAUGCAGCGGCUUAAGCUAUGGCAACAGUGCUCUUCAGAGAAUCUUGAAAUCUAAGCAGAGAUCAAGGUGUCCACUAUGACUUGGAAACAAUUCCUGUGUUGACAGUACACUUGCACCUGCUGGAUUAUUUUCCAUGGGAGGUUUCUAAGCAUCUGGUGGCCUGUCCCCAGUUCUCUGCACCUUGAUUUGAAGCAUGAUGGGGCAAGGGAUGGCAAACCUGGUUGACAGCACAAGUUUCAGUGCACAAGGACCUAUGUUCCAGCCCCCACCUGCAUGGGGGAAGCUUCACAAAUGUUGCAGGUGCCUGUCUCCCCCUUCUCACUCAAUUUCUCUCUGAAUACAAUAAAUGGUAAAUACAAAAACAUAGAAAAAAGUGCUCACCCUGGCCUGGCCCUCAGCAUGUAGAAUAAGCCAGGCCUGAUCUCCAGUCUGGACUCCAGGGUUGUAUGUCUGCCUUGGGCCACCUGCUUCACAGGUUGGCCCUGCCUAUGCAUUUCAGGUUUUCACUUGUGAAAUAGAGAAAAUAGGGUCUUGGUACCCUCCCUAGCCCCUGUGUGUUAAAGGCCUCACGUAAGUGAACCAACUUGAAAGUGACUAAGUUCAUUUGUGUCAGCAAAACUGAGCCACUUAAAGGCUGGCAGAAAUGCGCUGACAUCCUCAUGCCUUCUGACGAAAUGGACAAGGAAAAAAGCAAGGUAGAGUUGGUAGCUUUGCUUUAAGCAUUAGGACCUUCAUGGUAUCUCCUAAGAACCAGAAAAAGCUUUUUUU